This 1101-nucleotide long non-coding RNA is filed under the name Malus domestica (apple). RNAcentral describes it as "long non-coding RNA (MDOM_LNC017057)". Lineage: Eukaryota; Viridiplantae; Streptophyta; Magnoliopsida; Rosales; Rosaceae. The record is from RNAcentral.
AAAACUUUAUGUAAUUGCAUAAAAGGCCCCAAAAGUACCCCCACUAGGGGGUGGCCGGCCUUUAGAGAAGAUAUGAAAAAUUUUCUAAAAAAGUUUUUGCAAGUUGAUUUUGGUGGGUGUGGUAAAUGUGAAAUUGAUGGUUUGUAAGAAAACUUAAAGUCUAUGACAAACAUUAAAAACCAUUUCAUCACAUCUCACCAAUAACCAUCAACCAUCAAAUAAUAAACCAAAACUUUAUGAAAAAACAUAAAACUUUUGAAUCAAAACUUCAAACCUUUUUGUUCUUGGCAAGAACUUCAAGAACAUUGAAGAACACUCAUGAAAACUCAUAAUAGCUCCAUGAGUGUUUUUCACUCACCAAAACUCAAUUUUUCACCACUCAAAAGAGGGCUAAUAUCCUAGGGUACUUAGGGGUUCCAAAAGUCACUUUAAAACCAUUUUAACAAGACAAACAUGAACCCAAAAAUCACCCUUUGGAUUUGGCCGAAUUUCCCAACAUACAUGGCACCAAAUUUUAGUUCCAAUAUUCAUGCUUAAAUGAAAUACAUCUACAACAUUUGAGAUGUUAAAUUUUCAAGCAAAAUUUAUAUUCAAAAGCAAGAACAAAGCUUGUAACAUUUACAACAUUUAAAUCACAUAUUAUGAAAAGCACAAAACCCAAAAGGAUUCACCACAAACUAGGCCUAGGCUCUGAUACCACUUGAAGGAAAAAUUUUGUCCUAGCUAAGAACAUGUAAGAACAUUUGAAUACAUAUGCAAACUAUUAACACUUUAAAGUAGACAUGCAUUAAAAAACAAUUCAUAAAACCCAUGACUUUCAAAGCCUAGUAUAUGGUGAACCAAAAAGACUCUUUAACAACAUUAAAGAGAAGUAAAGAUUUAGAGUUUCUUUACCCUUGAAGCUCAUCCUUGUUUACACAAGGGAUUCACCCAAGUGGAGGGCCUUCAAGUCACCUCCAAGCUACUUGAAUCUUGCUUGUGAUUUUCCCUUUCUAGUGCUCCUUUGCUCCUUGAGGAUGUGAGGAAAGGAUCUCCAAAACUCCAAAGGUUUGGUGUCUCUAAGUCUCCACACCAAGGGUGAGGUGUGAAGAUGAAAUGGAU